GACGAACGCUGGCGGCGUGCUUAACACAUGCAAGUCGAACGGAAAGGUCCUGCUUUUGUGCGUCGCUCGAGAGGCGAACGGGUGUGUGUCACGUGAGUAUCCUGCCCUUGUCUGUGGGAUAACUUCUGGAAACUGGGGCUAAUACCGGAUAGGAGCUCCUGCUGCAUGGUGGGGGUUGGAAAGAUUCGGCGGUGUGGGAUGGACUCGCGGGUUAUCAGCUUCUUGGUGGGGUAGUGGCUUACCAAGGCUUUGACGGGUAGCCGGCCUGAGAGGGUGAACGGCCACAUGAGGCCUGAGCUAGGGAGCAGACUGGAAUCGGAGGCAGUGGGGGAGAGCAUGACACAGCAGGGCGAAGCCUGAGGUGACGACGCCGCGUGCGGGAUGACGGCUUUCUGGUUGUAAACCGAUGUCGCAUGUGACGAGGCGUGAGUGACGGUAACGGGUAAAGAAGCACCGGCUAACUACGUG
RNAcentral lists this ribosomal RNA (468 nucleotides) under uncultured bacterium. Its description in RNAcentral is "partial 16S ribosomal RNA". It matches the Rfam family "Bacterial small subunit ribosomal RNA", at positions 28 to 507 of the family's 1533-position model. The record is from RNAcentral.